UGCCAGCAGCCGCGGUAACACGGGGGGCGCAAGCGUUAUUCGGAAUUAUUGGGCGUAAAGGGCGCGCAGGCGGUCUUGUCCGUCAGGUGUGAAAGCUCGGGGCUCAGCCCCGGAAGUGCACUUGAAACAGCAAGACUUGAAUACGGUAGAGGAGAGAGGAAUUCCGAGUGUAGGGGUGAAAUCCGUAGAUAUUCGGAGGAACACCAGUGGCGAAGGCAUCUCUCUGGGCCGAUAUUGACGCUGAGGCGCGAAGGCGUGGGUAGCGAACGGGAUUAGAUA
Molecule: ribosomal RNA, 279 nt
Filed under: uncultured bacterium
Lineage: Bacteria
Description: partial 16S ribosomal RNA
Rfam family: Bacterial small subunit ribosomal RNA
Source: RNAcentral